This 72-nucleotide transfer RNA is filed under the name Phrynosoma platyrhinos (Desert horned lizard). RNAcentral's name for it is "tRNA-OTHER". The record is from RNAcentral. Lineage: Eukaryota; Metazoa; Chordata; Lepidosauria; Squamata; Phrynosomatidae.
GCCAAUGUGGUGUAGUGGUUUGAGCAUUAGACUAUGACUCUGGAUGCCAGAGUUCAAAUCCCUGCUCAGCCA